Long non-coding RNA from Schistocerca gregaria, 8546 nucleotides. RefSeq lists it as uncharacterized. NCBI's taxonomy places the organism in Eukaryota, Metazoa, Arthropoda, Insecta, Orthoptera, Acrididae. The record is from RefSeq and is a predicted model, not a curated record. The transcript has 3 exons.
ACCGGGGAACUUCAGUUCAAGGUCGGUGGAUGCCUAUUGAUGUCUGCUGUGUGAUCAAUAAGCCGUGAUAGACGUUGGUUCCGUGACGACGGAUGCAGCAUCCGUUGAGAAGUCUUUUCUGUACUGAGCUUUUAGAGAGUGAAGUAAGCGUUGUUUCGAAAAUGUUACACGAUUUUCGAACUCAAGUACGAGCCAGAAAUACAACAGCAGUAUUAUUUAUUGGUACAAAUAUCGCAAAAGUGAAGUGGAAGUUGCCUUGUCUUCAAGGAGAACUAAUUCGGCAUGAAAAGACAAGUAGUAAAUGCUACUAUGUGGUGAGUAUUUGAAAAUACAAAAAAGUAGCUUGAUGAAGACUGAAUUCCUCCUCCCCCAGUUGGAGGAAAAGAGGACAGACCAAUAAGGAGCUGGAAAAGUCCCUAAGGGCUUAAGUCCAGGUGUUACACAUAGUGUGCCAUGGAGAACCACUGAAGUUCUGUCUGCUUGACCAGACGUGUAGAGUGGAGUGUUAAAAUAUGUGGUUAUCAGUAAGAUCUGAUUUUAAGAAGAUGAAACUAUUCCACCUGCAAGUCUGCAUGACCAAGUUGAUGAGAGUGAAGUUUCAGAUAGUAAAACAAAAACUGUAUGAUUUGGAAUACACGUUCGUGUGUUGCAGAGUGGUAAGUUACAUCUUUGAUGAAAAAGUCUUUUCUAAUUUUUUCAAAAAUUACCACAACAGUAAGAAUAUUGCCCCUCCCCCCCACCCCCUCCCCUUUUGAAAACUUUACAGUUACAACAAUUAAGAAAUCUGAGCCUGUUUCAUGGUAGUAUGAGCAGGCUUAUGUUGCAGAAGUGAUACUGCAUUGCAAAUUAGACAAAGUGGAGAUAAUUACAGUUCAAAUUCAAUAAGUGAAAGAUGAAAAUUGGACAAAAAGAGCAAUCAACUGAUUAAAUGUGGUCAGCUGUAAUGUAAUGAUUUUGUUCUCAGUUUGGUGUACUUGAUAAAACAAGGCAAUUGAGGUGGUUGUAUCGUCACUCACUUUCCCAUCCAAGCAAAACAGCUGUUAGUACCAAAAACCAGUGACUUUCCAUGUACAUUGUGUGAUUAAAAUGUCUUGCAUUAUUAUAAGAAUUUUGUGUAUAACACUGAGUGGUCCAAGUUCAGUGAAUCGUCAGGGAAUUUUUCAUUAAUAGUCCAGGUCCUUGCCAUACAGAUUUUGGCAACUCCAACGUACCAAGGCAAAUGCAAGACCACCAGCAAUCAUCCCUCCCUCUCCUUCAUCCCUCCGCACCUUCCCAACUUCACUUUUGUGGGUCAUGGUCCUGUUUAUUUUCCAUACAGUGUCAGAGCUAAGUAUGUUUUAAUACAAUAGGACACGAAUUAUUGCUGUGGAAUAGGUAAAUAUAUGUCUUCAGGAAACAUAGAUACUCAGUGGAUUUAAUAGCAGGGUAAUAAGGAUGUAGAAGCAGCAUGUUGUGAGAUAUUCUAGUCUGAACUUUGUGCUGUGGGGAUAACUGUUGACAAAUACUUCAUAGACAGCAGCCCUCAUGGACCUUGUUCAGAAAAUAUAUUUCAAACUCUAUGACUAUUAUGAGGAUUAAUUUGAGAUAUCAACACAUUAAAUAAUAGGUACAAUGUUAAUGAGCUGCAGGUGCAACAUGUGUGGACCACAUGAAAUACCAGAGGUGUAGAGCCAAAAACUAUUUUGAAACAUGAUGAUUUAAACCAAAUGCAAAUAUUACAAUGUGUCAACAAAUCUUCUGAGGUAAGUAGUGAUACAGCAUUCGAGUACCUGGAAGAAUUUGUGUUGCUUCAUAGUGAGUAAAAAUUUUGUUCUGUGAAGUGGUCUUUGGGUUAAACAACAGCCUCUAUUUUUGUGUUGUUGUUGUUGGUGGUGGUGGUUGUGGUGGUGGUGGUGGUGGUGGUGGUGGUGGUGGUCAUUUGUGCAGACUUACGCGUAACAGGUAAUUAACCAAUCGUUGAGAUAGUGCCAUUUGUUUACUAUGUAAAGCAAACACCGCUAAUUCAUAUCUUUUGGUAAGUAUCAUUUUUGCUGUGAAAUUCCAAAAGAAAUUGGAUGUGAAAGUUAGUGAAGUGAAACUUACAGUAUGUGGUAAACAAGAGAAUGGAGUUAAAAAGAUAGUGCCUUUUGUUUACUAUGUAAAGCAAACACUGCUAAUUCAUAUCUUUUGGUAAGUAUAAUGCCAAAAGAAAUUGGAUGUGAAGUGAAACCUACAGUAUUUGGUAAGCAAGAGAAUGGAGUUAAAAACUUGUUGGAGCUAAUAACAAAGGUAAAUAGCAUUGUUUUAUGUCAUCAUGGUUCAAAAUAUGUGGCAAAUGACCAACAGUUGCAUGUAAUGCAUUUGUACUUUCGAGUUGGUGAUAGGUGGAGGUAAUCAGGGUUAUAGACCAAACAUGCGUUGUUUCUUUGCUGAAGAUUAGUUAGAGUAUAUUUGCUGAGUCCUGUUGUCUUACACCUUUCCUUUAUCUUGACAUGUUCCUGCCCUUUUUCAACCUCUUUACGAAGAUACAAAAUUGCACCAUGCUUUGCUAGUAGCGAGUCACUGGUUCAUUGGCAUUUCACCCAAGGUUAUCCUGUUAUUUAUUUAGGUGUUACAAAUUGUGGGAUACCAUGCUGCAUUGUUUUCACUUAGACCAUGCCAAAAGGAUUGCAGCCUAUUGCACUAAGACAUUAGAUGGCGUUAAACCAUGAUCAGUGUGGGCUAAGUGAAUAUAACAUGGUUAAUCACAUUCAGGGUUUUUAGAACAGGAAAUAGUUGAUUUUUUUUUGUACCUAUGUAGGUAUGUGAUACUCCACAAAGGCAUCUGUAUUAGGUCCAGAAACAGGUGUGUGUGUGUGUGUGUGUGUGUGUGUUUUUGAAUAUGUCAGAGGAAAUGAAUCGUACUUCCACUGACUGUUCUCUAAAAUUAAUUGUAAAUUUGCUCCAGCAUAAUGAGCAAAACAAUCAGUGAAUAAAUGUAACAGGCAACUGCUUCAGUGGCGUAUGAUUUAUUUCUUUUUUGCUACUGGGAAAAAGGUUAAAAUUACUUACUUUUACAGUUGCCCAAAAUGGACAAGCAGGUAUGUGAUGAAACACUUUGAAGAUUAUUACAUCCUGUUGUAGUAUUGUGGCUAAGGACAUUCCAGGCAUUAACAAUGGUACUCAUUUACUGCCUUAGGAAUCUGAAAGUGUAUUCAUGUGUAUGUCGAGAUACCAAAACCGUGCGACUCAAAUCUAUAGUUCAGUGUCCAUACCUUACAGUUAGCAUAACAGUGUCAGUCACAGGUAAAAUUUGAUUGACAAAAGUAAACUGUUGGAAGUGCCAAGCAUAAACAAACACAAAACUGUUUGAGAUGCUGCAAAUUCAGUCAGAUGAUUCAUUGUUCAAGUCAUUGUAUGAGGAGGAAGGCAGUGAAAACCAAGAACAAAAUUUCCUGUGAAGACAAAAUUGUGGUAUUACAGCAGUUUGAUAUCAGAGUUUAGUAUCUGGAGUGUUAAGUGUGUUAUGCGUGGUUCACUUGAUUUAAAGGCGAGAGUGUGUAGUAGGAUCUGCUGUAAAAUAAUUCUUGGAACAGUUAACACUGUAAGAAAUAAUAAUUUAAAAAAACAUAUUCUGUGAAGUGAUGUGAAACAGAGAAAGAAAUUUGUUUUGGUGCAGUAGGUUGUAAAAUUAUUUUCAUUCACUGCAUGCAGAGUUCAAUACUUGAGGGAACCUGAAUGUGUUAAUACUGGAUAUUGGCUUCACACUGCAACUUAAUGGUGUUGCGGCAUGUGGCGUGUAAGCACAGUCAGAGAGAGAACAAAACACUGACAACAUCUUUAAAUGUCUGCAUUAGUUUUUGGAAUGUAGAUGGUGGUGACAGAGUGAUCUGUAGCAUUGACUAAAGUCAACAUUUGGUUGAAAUGUGACAGUUUGGUUGUGAGUUUUGAACGUGGUAUUGAAUGUUUCAGUGAAUCCAGUCUUUCAGUAACAUGGCGAAAAGGAGAAACAGUGAUGCAACGUGGCGUGAAAAUUUCAUAGUUUGUGAAUAGUUGGGAUGUGUGUUUGUAACAAUAUACAGUACAGUAGGUAGUCUUCUUCAGAGAGUGUGUAAUACAUCGUGCUGUUAGCUACAAACUACAUGACAGCGAAGUGUUUUAUUUGUGAAGCAGUUGCUACAGUUUUGAAUGUUAAAGAAACCUAGUAUUUUCAUAGUCAUAUGUAAUAUUGGAAGCAACCACAGGUUAACUGCAAGAAUAUAACGAGUGUUGCUAUACGUUCUGAAUUUUAUGCAUCUAUGUGGUUGAAGUGUGAACAGUAUGCUGGUGGUGGUGGUGUUGUGGGACUUCAUAAAUGUGCAAACAGAAAGAUUUUGCCAAAAUUUCUUGGUUUUAGGAGUGUGUUGUGGUUACAGACUGAUAGUUUAUACAACCUGAAGUCUAGAUAAGGUAGAAAACUGACAGUUUGGUUGUAAGUUAACAAAGCCAACAAAUAUGUAUGCAAAAAGAUUUGGUGACAUACAGAUCUAUAGCAUAGCUGCAGGCCCAUGUUAGGUUGAAAGGUGACAGUUUCGUGUGAUAUAACGAGGGGUAUACUCAAAGCAGAUAAUAAACCAACUGAACCAUAAGGUGUAGAGAGUACUACUACUUCCUUCGUCUGAUCAUGAAGAAUCCAUUCAGCUGUGUGUGUGUGUGUGUGUGUGUGUGUGUGUGUGUGUGUGUGUGUGUGUCCUCUAGGUAUAUCACUUUGAUCUAGUAUGAAAGUUCUUGCUCUGACAAACUUUAAUUUUGUUGUGAAGCGUGUGGUGUUUCUAAUGAUUGUCAAGAGAAUGGAGGUUUGCUUAAAGUUUUAGAUGUAAUACAAGACAGGAUUAUUCAAAACUAGCAUCAAUUAGUGUAUGAGUGGUAACUGCUGCAGUGCAGAUUAACUCACAGUUAAUUGGAAGAAGUGGGAUUUUUUUCGUCUCAAGAAUGAUGUCUGAACUGCAACAGUGUUUUUUUUUUUUGUGAGAGCAAUUAAUAAUGUGCUUUAUUGAGUACUCGCAUCUCUCUGUCUUGCCUGGUGUUGUGAUGUGAAUCUUACGCUUUUACUUUAACAAUGAGGGAUUGGGGAGCAAGUGCAUUUUUUCUUAUAAUAGAGUGGAAUGUAAGAAGUGUCAGAUUAAUGUAAUGGUAUGUUUAACAAAAUGAAUUGAGGGGAAUCACUGAUAAAAAUUAAAAUAGGCUUUCUUAUGCCAUUGGUGCUAAGGUCUUGAAAGACAUGCUGUUGUUUAAGUUUAUGCAGUAUCAGGUUCAGUUAUUUUCACUUGGGAUAUCGCAGAGUGGUUGCAGUGCUGUGCUCAGUAAUGUAGUGAAAAGUGCAGUUGUUGAUUUGAUGUGAUGAACAAAUCACUUGUGACACCUUGUUGAUAUGUGAAGAAGCUUGUGAAGUGGCAGUGUUAAAACUUGUGCGAUAUUAUAUAGUGAAGUUGUGUUGCAUAGUGUAAAGAAAAAUUGUUCAGUAGUUCAUAUGGGAUGUUGUGUGCGAUUCAUAUGUGUAACAUGCCAGUAAAUAGAUAAAAAACAUAUUCUUAGUAUAUGAUACAGUGGAUAGGAAUGCUGUUACUAAUCUGAGUGAAACCUUCAAAUAACCAGUUGGCUUGAGUUGAUGGAAGUAGUAAAUAGUGCAAUGUGAAUUUUUUUAGAGGCGAUUUUGAAGGAGGAAUUAGGUAGACAUGAAUACAUAAAUAGAAUUUAGUACUGAGGUGAGUAAGCAGGGGGUCUACCAGUGAUUUUGAUUAUGGAAUUCCCAGUGUAUGUCCAUUUUGUUAAAAAAUGUACAUCAAUUAGCUACAGAUUUUUCACUCAGAAUUUCCAUCGACUGUUAUUUCACUAUUUUCUGUAUGGUGCACACAGGGACAUUCAAUUUUAUCAGUUUUCUCCCAUUAUACGUGCACUUUAUAAACUUGAUUUGAGGAGAUAGUUGUGGCGUAAUGUGCUAUUCACAUCACAUACACAGAGUGCAUAAUGGAACUGUGCACAUAGACCCUAGACAGUCAGCUAUUAGCAGAAAGCCACAUGUGUCAGUGACGUUAAUAGACCUGAAGCUCCUUCUGAUGGUGGCUGAAUUUCGUAUGCAGUCAAAGGAUGCAGAAACAGCUCGGUGUGUAUUCUAAGCGAGUGUGUUGUGCAUUAAUAAACGCCAAAGUCAGUAAAAAAUUGUGAAAAUGUAUAAUCUUCACACAUGACUGCAAACUGGUCAGUACUAAUAACAGUGAUAAUACUUUUCUCCCUUCAUGCUGUGCCACAGUUUUUUGAGUUUAUUAAACAUGUGUUAAUUUUGUAGACUUCAUAAAGCUGUGACUUCAAAUCAUUUUUAAUACGUUAACCGCAUGAACUGUGGAACCUUCAUUUAUGAUCUGUCAGAGAAGAGUUACAGAAGACAGAUCAAACUGUGGUUAAAUGAAGAUUUUCAACAUUGUAAUGGUGAGUUCAUUGAAAUGGUGAGCUUCACUGUUUUGAACAGGAUGUGUAAGAGACAAUGGCUUUACUUUCACUUGUAACGCACCAGAAGUGAAUGACACACAGAGAAAUGAUGUGUUGUGUGACAGUGGGCAGAAUAAUCAGUGGUGUAUGUCAGAUUUCUUGUAGUGUUGGAAAUAAAUAGGCCAAAGACUAACAGCAGUUGACUGGUUCAGAAGUGAAGUUAUCAUCACUUUUUUUUGUGUGACCCCAGUGGUGAGGAACAAUGCCAGUGAAACAGUGUGAACAUCACAUGACACAUUUGAUAGUUAAUUUCACAAUAAAUGUGCACAUGAAAUAUCUUGGGCAUUUAUAACAUACAAUUGUGUGCAUCAGGAGGGAGGCUGGGAGUGGGUUUUAUUAAAACAAAAAAUGUCGUCUUUAUUAUGUUGUCAUGUACCGUGAAUCAUCUGUGUUAAAAUGUGGAAGAAAACACUCAAUGUGGUGUGAUUUGUUUCGCUUGUCAUAUAAUGUUUCAUUGAAUGGUAGUAAUAGGAAACUCAUUCCUAGGGAUAUAGAAGUGUAUCAAAAAUUUGUUUCACUCAUCAUAUAUGUGAUACAUUGGAUGGUUAUAAUAGGAAAUACAUUCGUAGUGAUGUAGAAUUGAGUCAUAAAAAGUGCAUGUUCACCACAAACAAGGAACAUCGUGAAUGAAAUUAACGAUGAACUAAAUGUUUCAGUACAGAAUAUAAUUUGAGUUAAUGUUAGCUGGAUGCAAAUAUAAUUUGGAAGGGCUUCACAUUUCAUUUUCAUUCACUGCAGCUGGAGCAUCAGGUCAUGAUUUGUGCACAUAAUUUCACUAUAUUUCAGAAGUUUCACAAGUUAGCUAUGGAUGAUGGAAAAACUUUGUUGUUUCAUUUUUCAGUGCACAUCCUUCGAUGAUAUUAAAGUGUCCUCGUUGCCUCAGUGAAUACAUAUAAUAACUUUGGGUUUCUUGUAGAGUUUGGGUUUGGUAUAGAAUGGUGUGGGGAGUAUUGUCUGGUCAGAUGUUAGAUGAAGCUUUCAAGAGGCUGCCUGUGCAGUCUCAAGCUGUUGCCAGCCUGAAUUUUCUUCUAUGGAUAGCAAAGCAGAAGUGUGGGGUCCAAAAUGUGUAUAGUUUCACAGGUGUGGUAAGAUAUGGGUGGUUGAAUGUCCUUCUGCUCCCACAACUUAACAGUAGUGGACUGGUCUGGGGAUCUGCCUUGCUUCUUUCAUACUUCAGUACCUGCUCCACUAAUUUUGCUGUUGAUGAGGGUAUGGUAUAUUUCAUACUUAGUUCAAAUUUCACACUGAUCUGGUCCCACUUAGCAAAUAUUGCAAGAACGUGAGAGUGUGAUUAUUACUUUUAAAAUUAUGUACGUAAAUUCAGUAGGAGCAAGUUGAAAAAAUACACCUCUGUCAUACACAGUGCAUGAUUUGUAACCAGGCUUGCUAAUGCAUGAUUGAAGUUUAAAUAACGUAUGAGUGAAGUGUAGAAUUAAGUUGAAGUUACUUGCAUGUGAUUUCCUUUACACGGGCAAGCAGGUAUAAAUACUGAUUUGAAAUUCCAUUGUUUUCAGUGAUGUUAAGGUCACUGGCUGCACAGACAGUAUGGGCUUCAUCCAAAUUCAGAUAAGGCUUGCAUCUGAUUGCUGUUGAACAGAUAAGCAUGUAUAAAUGGUGGGUACUUUGAAAUUCCGUUGCCUCCGGUGACCUCAUGGUCGGAGACUGCACAGAUAGUGGGGGAGGAGUGCGUUUGAUCGGAAUCAGUUGAUACUUGCGUGUGGAGAUUUAAGAUGAGAUGUCUUGCAUAUGAUUUCUUUUGAAAAGGCAAACAUGAUAUAUGAUGAGUACUUCAAAAUUCCAUUGUCUCACUUGACCUAAUCGUCGUUGACUGCACAGGUAGUGUGGGAGAAGGGUGUUUGAUCUGAAUCAGAUGAGACUUGAUUGUGGAGAUUUUAGUCGUGGUGUCUGCAUUGUGGGGUCUUUGGAAGGGACAGACAGGAAUAUAUGGUUAGUACAUCGAAAUUAAAUUAUCUCUGGUUACCUCAUGGUCGGAGACUGCAUAGAUAGUGUGCGAGAAAGGUGUUCGAUCUGAAUCAGAUGAGACUUGAGUGUGGAGAUUUAAG